UCGGACGUGGUGUAAUGCAACACGGCCUCUCUCCUCAAGUAUUCUUCUAGUGGAUCAAGAGGCAAUCCCGGGUUCGAGUCCCGGCGUCCGAA
Molecule: non-coding RNA, 92 nt
Organism: Mycena metata
Lineage: Eukaryota; Fungi; Basidiomycota; Agaricomycetes; Agaricales; Mycenaceae
Source: the annotation of a GenBank genome assembly